UACGUAGGUCCCGAGCGUUGUCCGGAUUUAUUGGGCGUAAAGCGAGCGCAGGUGGUUUAUUAAGUCUGGUGUAAAAGGCAGUGGCUCAACCAUUGUAUGCAUUGGAAACUGGUAGACUUGAGUGCAGGAGAGGAGAGUGGAAUUCCAUGUGUAGCGGUGAAAUGCGUAGAUAUAUGGAGGAACACCGGUGGCGAAAGCGGCUCUCUGGUCUGUAACUGACGCUGAGGUUCGAAAGCGUGGGUAGCAAACAGG
Molecule: ribosomal RNA, 252 nt
Filed under: uncultured bacterium
Lineage: Bacteria
Description: partial 16S ribosomal RNA
Rfam family: Bacterial small subunit ribosomal RNA
Source: RNAcentral